Long non-coding RNA from Polypterus senegalus (gray bichir), 1211 nucleotides. RefSeq lists it as uncharacterized. The transcript is spliced from 3 exons. The record is from RefSeq and is a predicted model, not a curated record. Lineage: Eukaryota; Metazoa; Chordata; Cladistia; Polypteriformes; Polypteridae.
GCUCCGCCGCCUCUGUUGGAAGCCUACAGUAUGUACAAACGCAGACACGAGCGCGCGUUCACGCGCAAGGCGGCACCACAAACACCUCCUCACCCGAAGCGUUCUUCUUGGCAGGCAGAUCUUUUAAUGCCCUCCGGACAUUUUUCAUAACCGAGCUGUCUCUCCUGUAAACAUUCAGGGAAUUCAAGAAUGUGUCGCCCCAGGCCGAGGUGGGGUUUAUCAGAGCGCCUGCCUUCACUUUGUAGUGUGUUGCUGUGAGAAGGGUUUUAGUCUUAGCCGUAGCGUCUUUAGUCUUAGCGUUGCAGUAAGUACACGGGAAUCCCUUUAUUCAAGAAGAUUUAUUUGCCUUUUUUUUGCCAGCCCGAGUAGUUUAUAGUAACAUUUGAAGUGCGGUAGUACAUUCGAUAUUGUGCGGUGCUUAAAACAUUGAAAAGUAGUAGCUGAUGAGUCAAUUGUUUUCUUUCACGGCCCCGUAAGAAGUUUGUGUCAAAACAAAAGUCAUUGUUGGUUUGCGUCGUUUGACGACUUGCAUCAUAUUUCAACAACGACUUGCCAGAAGGCUCUUACAGGACUAGUAGAAGAAGCUCAUAUGGUCUAAUGAGACGAGAAUUGACAUUAUCAACCAUAAUGCUUCGAGCUAUGUCUGGCGGAAGCGUAGCGUGGCAAACACUACAAUAGUAGCACACCUGCCAUCAGGACUCUCAGUGCAUAGGUAUAGAAAAUUUGGACAGGAGGAGAAAGACAAAAAUCAGCUCAGUCAAAGCACAUAGUUAAAUGAAAUCAAGAAUGCAUUCCCACUAUUGACAAAUGCUGUUUUAUCAACUUUUGGCCAUUCAACAUCAACAACGCUUUGCAAAAACUGACCUACAAAAACACAAGUGCCCAGGUGACUCUGAUAUUUGCCUAAGGUGUUUAUGCCAAAUGCUUUCUGAAGGGAGUCAUGGGGAGCCAGACUGUUAUUGCUGCACUAGCUGUAUGGUGGAAGAGAUCCUGGAUGUUAAAACCAGUCUGUGAAAGAGCAUGCUCAUGCAAACACAUUGAACUAAUGUUAGAGUUGCUAUCUGGAGAAAAUCUACCUGAAUGCUGAGAUAAUAAACUUCAAAGAGACAACAACUGGGGAUGCACCUCAGGAGCAGGAUCCCCAACAGGAGCAGAAGAUGGGGGAGAAGUGAAACAAAAGGACAGCUGCUGUACAGGCUUUUAAAUGUUUG